GGCGUACCUUUUGCAUCAUGGGCCUGCGAGUUGCCCUGUGUCGCGAGGUUAAGCCGCGAGGUGUAGCCGAAGGGAAACCGAGUCCUAACUAGGGCGAAUGAGUGGCACGGGACAGACCCGAAACCUAGUGAUCUAUCCUUGAGCAGGCUGAAGCGCGGGUAAUACCGCGUGGAGGGCCGAACCCACCAUAGUUGAAAAUAUGGGGGAUGACUUGAGGAUGGGAGUGAAAGGCUAAUCAAACUGGGGAGAUAGCUGGUUCUCCGCGAAAUAUAUUGAGGUAUAGCCUCGGACGAAUUGCACCGGAGGUAGAGCACUGAUUGGGCUAGGGGUCUUACCAGAUUACCAAACCCACUCAAACUCCGAAUGCCGGUGACAACUAUCCGGGAGACAGGCUGCGAGUGAUAAGAUCCGUAGCCAAAAGGGAAAGAGCCCAGAUCGACAGCUAAGGUCCCAAAAUCCAGGCUAAGUGUGGAAGGAUGUGGGAGCGCUCAGACAGCCAGGAGGUUGGCUUAGAAGCAG
Molecule: ribosomal RNA, 519 nt
Filed under: uncultured bacterium
Lineage: Bacteria
Description: bacterial LSU rRNA
Rfam family: Bacterial large subunit ribosomal RNA
Source: RNAcentral